Long non-coding RNA from Larimichthys crocea (large yellow croaker), 1248 nucleotides. RefSeq lists it as uncharacterized. The transcript has 2 exons. NCBI's taxonomy places the organism in Eukaryota, Metazoa, Chordata, Actinopteri, Sciaenidae. The record is from RefSeq and is a predicted model, not a curated record.
CCAUGUUUGCAUGCUGAAAGAGGAUGUGCUGGUCUGACCCCCCUCCUCCUUUCAGGGUGGAGCCUGCUGGAGUCCGAUGGUUGAGACCAGGUCUGAGGAAGUAUUCCUGUGAACUCACAGUCGACACAAACACAGUAAACAGAAACAUCAAACUGUCUGACAACAACAGGAAGAUGACACGUGUGGAGGAGGAUCAGUCAUAUCCUGAUCAUCCAGACAGAUUUGACUACUGGACUCAGCUGCUGUGUAGAACUGGUCUGACUGGUCGCUGUUACUGGGAGGUCGAGUGGAGAGGAGGAGUUUGUAUAUCAGUGAGUUACAGAAGAAUCAGAAGGAAAGGAAACAGUAGAGACUGUUUGUUUGGAUGGAAUAAUCAGUCCUGGAGACUGUACUGCUCUGAUGGUGGUAGUUACUCUGUCAGGAACAAUAACAGAACAACAUCCAUCUCCUCCUCCUCUUCCUCCUCCUCCUCCUCCUCCUCCUCCUCCUGGGUCUCUCACAGAGUAGCAGUGUAUCUGGACUGUCCUGCUGGCUCUCUGUCCUUCUACAGAGUCUCCUCUGACACACUGAUCCACCUCCACACCUUCAACACCACAUUCACUGAACCUCUUUAUCCUGGGUUUGGGUUUGGGUCUUGGUGGCCUGGUUCUGGUUCUUCAGUGUCUCUGUGUGGUCUGUAGGACGGAGAGUCUCCUCCUGUUGGACAAACAUUGUCUCUGCUGAACAGAUCAGUUGAGUGUGUCCAAGAUCACACAGCUGAUGUUCUUUCUGUCCCACACCAUGUGUCCCUGGUUAGAUUCUCUCUCUACCCCCAUGUUUCCUGUCUGCGUCUCCUACGUGUCCGUAAAGACAAAAUGUCCAAAACAAAGACAGAGAAGAUGAAAUUAAAUGUGUCAUGAGCAGAGAGGACAACACUAAGAAGAAGAAUAACAUGUACUUGUAUGUCUAGAGAGGUCCACAGGGCACCAACGCCUCACCCCUGGGGGAGGAAAGCAGAUGGACCAGAUUCACCUUCACUAGUCUCAGUGCUGUUGUGGAACGACUCUUGUCCAAUCAGAUUACUCGCUGUGAACUACCUGUUGUGUAAUAUAUGAUACCUGCAGUUUGUAGGCUUCACUGUACGUAUAGAUUUCUGUUUCAGGACAAAAGGAAAUGAUGAUUAUCAAUGGGCCACAUUGAUCAUAUCAAUCAUUGAUUAUUACAUGAAUGUGACUGUGUGAAUAAAGACUUUAUACUGCUUCAUAAUCA